GAUGAACGCUGGCGGCGUGCUUAACACAUGCAAGUCGAACGAAGCAUUUGCGACAGAUUUUUUCGGAAUGAAGUUGCUUAUGACUGAGUGGCGGACGGGUGAGUAACGCGUGGGUAACCUGCCUUGUACUGGGGGAUAGCAGCUGGAAACGGCUGGUAAUACCGCAUAAGCGCACAAUGUUGCAUGACAUGGUGUGAAAAACUCCGGUGGUAUAAGAUGGACCCGCGUCUGAUUAGCUAGUUGGUGAGAUAACAGCCCACCAAGGCGACGAUCAGUAGCCGACCUGAGAGGGUGACCGGCCACAUUGGGACUGAGACACGGCCCAGACUCCUACGGGAGGCAGCAGUGGGGAAUUUUGCACAAUGGAGGAAACUCUGAUGCAGCGACGCCGCGUGAGUGAAGAAGUAAUUCGUUAUGUAAAGCUCUAUCAGCAGGGAAGAUAGUGACGGUACCUGACUAAGAAGCUCCGGCUAAAUACGUG
Molecule: ribosomal RNA, 481 nt
Filed under: uncultured bacterium
Lineage: Bacteria
Description: partial 16S ribosomal RNA
Rfam family: Bacterial small subunit ribosomal RNA
Source: RNAcentral